GACGAACGCUGGCGGCGUGCUUAACACAUGCAAGUCGAACGGAAAGGCCCUGCUUUUGUGGGGUGCUCGGGUGGCGAACGGGUGAGUAACACGUGAGUAACCUGCCCUUGACUUUGGGAUAACUUCAGGAAACUGGGGCUAAUACCGGAUAGGAGCUCCUGCUGCAUGGUGGGGGUUGGAAAGUUUCGGCGGUUGGGGAUGGACUCGCGGCUUAUCAGCUUGUUGGUGGGGUAGUGGCUUACCAAGGCUUUGACGGGUAGCCGGCCUGAGAGGGUGACCGGCCACAUUGGGACUGGGAUACGGCCCAGACUCCUACGGGAGGCAGCAGUGGGGAAUAUUGCACAAUGGGCGGAAGCCUGAUGCAGCAACGCCGCGUGCGGGAUGACGGCCUUCGGGUUGUAAACCGCUUUCGCCUGUGACGAAGCGUGAGUGACGGUAAUGGGUAAAGAAGCACCGGCUAACUACGUG
This 468-nucleotide ribosomal RNA is filed under the name uncultured bacterium. RNAcentral's name for it is "partial 16S ribosomal RNA". It matches the Rfam family "Bacterial small subunit ribosomal RNA", at positions 28 to 507 of the family's 1533-position model. The record is from RNAcentral.